CCUACGGGUGGCUGCAGUGGGGAAUAUUGGACAAUGGGGGGAACCCUGAUCCAGCCAUGCCGCGUGUGUGAAGAAGGCCCUCGGGUUGUAAAGCACUUUCAGUGAGGAAGAACGCCUGGUGGUUAAUACCCAUCAGGAAAGACAUCACUCACAGAAGAAGCACCGGCUAACUCCGUGCCAGCAGCCGCGGUAAUACGGAGGGUGCGAGCGUUAAUCGGAAUUACUGGGCGUAAAGCGCGCGUAGGUGGCUUGAUAAGCCGGUUGUGAAAGCCCCGGGCUCAACCUGGGAACGGCAUCCGGAACUGUCAAGCUAGAGUGCAGGAGAGGAAGGUAGAAUUCCCGGUGUAGCGGUGAAAUGCGUAGAGAUCGGGAGGAAUACUAGUGGCGAAGGCGGCCUUCUGGACUGACACUGACACUGAGGUGCGAAAGCGUGGGUAGCAAACAGGAUUAGAUACCCCUGUAGUC
This 465-nucleotide ribosomal RNA is filed under the name Vreelandella stevensii. RNAcentral describes it as "partial 16S ribosomal RNA". It matches the Rfam family "Bacterial small subunit ribosomal RNA", at positions 338 to 795 of the family's 1533-position model. The record is from RNAcentral. Lineage: Bacteria; Pseudomonadati; Pseudomonadota; Gammaproteobacteria; Oceanospirillales; Halomonadaceae.